GAAUCAACAGAAUUUGUCUUUUUGUGACUGGUUUAUUUCGCUUAACUUCGUCCUCAAGGUUCAACUUAAACGUGUAUCCAUGUUGUAGCACAUGUCAGCAUUUUCUUUUGUUCUGAGGCUAAAUAGUAUUUCAUUGUGUGUGUACAGCACGUUUCAUGCAUUCAUUCAUCCCUUGACAGAUUGGUGGGUUGUUUCCUCCUUUUUGCUUUUGUGAACAGUGCUACGAACGUGCUUGUACAAACAUCUCUUGGAGCCCCACUAGCAGUUCCUUUGGGUAUAUACCCCAAAGUGGAAUUGCUGGAUCUGGUAGCUCCCUUUUUAAUUUUUUGAGGAAUCGCCACACAGUUUCCAUAACAGCCGCACCAUUUUACAUUCCCAAGACCUUUUUUUUUUUUUUUUUAAGAAGAAAAGAUGUGUUUCUGCAUUUCUGGAAGUCUACGCUGCAUUUCCAUUUGUUGAAAUUUAAGACCAGAGUCAUCUUUUCUGCUGUAAUUAUAAUGGUCACUGGCUUGUGCCUUUUCCUCCUCUCUCUGCCCCAUCUGCACGGGGUCUUUGAAGAAGUCCCAGCACCUUGGUGAACAAGCCCGUGUCCCUGGCCCAUCAUGGAAGCUGCUGCCUUUCAGAGUGGGACUCUGUACCCUGUUGCCUCAUUCCUUGCUGCGCCCAUGAGUGAGCUUGUGCCUGACGUCUCCUUCCAGGUGGACUUACACACUGGGCUGUCGGAGUUCUCGGUGACGCAGCGCCGGCUGGCCCAUGGCUGGAAUGAGUUUGUUGCUGACAACAGCGAACCUGUGUGGAAGAAAUACCUGGAUCAGUUUAAGAACCCCCUGAUCCUGCUGCUGCUGGGCUCUGCCCUGGUGAGUGUCCUCACCAAGGAGUAUGAGGACGCCGUCAGCAUCGCCACGGCAGUGCUCAUCGUGGUCACUGUGGCCUUCAUCCAGGAGUACAGGUCGGAGAAAUCUCUGGAAGAGCUGACCAAGCUGGUUCCUCCAGAAUGUAACUGCCUAAGAGAAGGAAAACUCCAGCACCUGCUUGCUCGAGAACUGGUUCCUGGUGAUGUCGUAUCUCUCUCGAUCGGAGACCGGAUCCCUGCAGACAUCCGACUCACUGAGGUCACGGACCUCUUGGUGGAUGAAUCCAGCUUCACCGGGGAAGCCGAGCCAUGUAGUAAAACAGACAGCCCCUUGACAGGCGGUGGGGACCUCACCACCCUCAGCAACAUCGUCUUCAUGGGGACCCUGGUGCAGUAUGGGAGGGGCCAGGGGGUCGUGAUUGGAACAGGGGAAAGCUCUCAGUUCGGAGAAGUGUUUAAGAUGAUGCAGGCUGAAGAGACACCUAAAACUCCUUUGCAGAAAAGCAUGGACAGGCUAGGAAAGCAACUGACACUCUUCUCCUUUGGCAUAAUCGGUCUCAUCAUGCUCAUUGGCUGGUUGCAAGGGAAACAACUCCUGAGUAUGUUCACGAUUGGGGUCAGCCUGGCUGUGGCGGCCAUUCCAGAGGGUCUGCCCAUCGUCGUCAUGGUGACGCUGGUCCUGGGAGUGCUGCGGAUGGCCAAGAAGCGGGUCAUCGUGAAGAAGUUACCCAUCGUGGAGACUUUAGGUUGCUGCAGCGUUCUCUGUUCUGAUAAGACGGGGACUCUGACUGCCAAUGAAAUGACAGUGACCCAGCUUGUAACGUCAGAUGGGCUUCGUGCCGAGGUCAGCGGAGUUGGGUAUGACGGUCAAGGGACUGUGUGUCUUCUACCAUCCAAGGAAGUCAUUAAGGAAUUUUCCAAUGUCUCAGUGGGAAAGUUAGUGGAGGCGGGCUGUGUUGCCAACAAUGCGGUCAUCAGAAAGAACGCCGUGAUGGGGCAGCCCACCGAGGGUGCAUUGAUGGCCCUGGCGAUGAAGAUGGACUUAAGUGAUAUUAAAAAUUCAUAUAUAAGAAAAAAAGAGAUUCCAUUCAGUUCAGAGCAGAAGUGGAUGGCGGUGAAAUGCAGUCUGAAGACUGAGGAUCAGGAAGACAUUUACUUCAUGAAAGGGGCCUUGGAAGAGGUGAUCCGCUACUGCACCAUGUACAACAACGGGGGCAUCCCCCUGCCGCUGACGCCCCAGCAGAGGUCAUUCUGCCUGCAGGAAGAGAAGAGGAUGGGGUCGCUCGGUCUGCGGGUGCUGGCCCUGGCUUCUGGGCCCGAGCUGGGGCGGCUGACGUUUCUAGGUCUUGUGGGCAUCAUCGACCCCCCGAGAGCUGGCGUGAAGGAAGCAGUCCAGGUUCUCUCCGAGUCUGGUGUGUCUGUGAAGAUGAUAACGGGAGAUGCCCUGGAGACGGCCUUGGCCAUAGGAAGAAACAUCGGCCUGUGCAACGGGAAGCUGCAAGCCAUGUCCGGGGAGGAGGUGGACGGCGUGGAGAAGGACGAGCUGGCCGACCGCGUGGGGAAGGUGUCCGUGUUCUUCAGGACCAGCCCAAAGCACAAGCUCAAAAUCAUCAAGGCUCUGCAGGAGUCAGGGGCGAUCGUGGCCAUGACUGGGGAUGGGGUGAACGACGCAGUGGCCCUGAAGUCUGCAGACAUUGGGAUCGCCAUGGGGCAGACAGGGACGGACGUCAGCAAAGAGGCCGCCAACAUGAUCCUGGUGGAUGAUGACUUCUCAGCCAUCAUGAAUGCAGUGGAGGAAGGCAAGGGGAUUUUUUACAACAUCAAAAACUUUGUCCGAUUCCAGCUGAGCACGAGCAUCUCUGCCCUGAGUCUCAUCACUCUGUCCACCGUGUUCAACCUGCCCAGCCCCCUCAACGCCAUGCAGAUCCUAUGGAUCAACAUCAUCAUGGAUGGGCCACCGGCGCAGAGCUUGGGGGUAGAGCCCGUUGACAAAGACGCCUUCAGGCAGCCACCACGGAGUGUGCGGGACACCAUCCUCAGCAGAGCCCUCAUCCUGAAGAUCCUCAUGUCCGCAGCCAUCAUCAUCAAUGGGACCCUGUUUAUCUUCUGGAAGGAGAUGCCUGAAGACAGAGCAAGCACUCCCCGCACCACGACGAUGACGUUCACUUGUUUUGUGUUUUUCGAUCUCUUCAACGCCUUGACCUGCCGCUCUCAGACCAAGCUGAUAUUUGAGAUCGGCUUUCUCAGGAACCACAUGUUCCUCUACUCCGUCCUGGGGUCCAUCCUGGGGCAGCUGGCAGUCAUUUACAUCCCCCCGCUGCAGAGGGUCUUCCAGACGGAGAACCUGGGAGCGCUUGAUUUGCUGUUUUUAACUGGAUUGGCCUCAUCCGUCUUCAUUUUGUCAGAGCUCCUCAAACUAUGUGAAAAAUACUGUUGCAGCCCCAAGAGAGUCCAGAUGCACCCUGAAGAUGUGUAGUGGACCUCACUCCGCGGCACCUUCCCUAAUCAUCUUGAUCUGGUUGUGACUGUGGCCCCUGCCAUGUCUCCUCUUCAGGGGAGACUUUUAGGAGGCCGCAGCCUUCCGUCACCGGAUCAGUUUUUCCUCUUCGGAAAGCUGCAGGAACCUCGUGGGCUCCAGGGACCCAGGCCCACAUCCAUCCAGCGUUCCCGCUGGCUGUGGGACAGACAGGGAGGGGCCUGUACAGAAACAUCACACUAUUUAUUAAAUCACAAUGAUUUUUAUU
RNAcentral lists this small RNA (3597 nucleotides) under Pan troglodytes (chimpanzee). RNAcentral describes it as "retained intron". The record is from RNAcentral. Lineage: Eukaryota; Metazoa; Chordata; Mammalia; Primates; Hominidae.